Non-coding RNA from Ictidomys tridecemlineatus (thirteen-lined ground squirrel), 6119 nucleotides. NCBI's taxonomy places the organism in Eukaryota, Metazoa, Chordata, Mammalia, Rodentia, Sciuridae. The record is from RefSeq and is a predicted model, not a curated record.
GAGCAAAGCUUGGAGGUGGGGCUUUUGGGCAACCACGAGAGCUGCAGCCUGCUAGUGGGGUGACCCUGGAGGGACCAGUAACUUGAAAGGACUACUCUACUGGGUGUCAACUGUAGGCAUGUGGCACAGGCUGGAGGAGACUGGGCGUCCAGUCCUGCCGGGCCAGCCGUCGAGCAUGCCCAGCAAACCUUGAUGAAGAAUCACAAACACUCAAAUGGCCCAGUGAGACCGUGGACAGGCAUGCCAGGCGAAGCAAGUAAAAUCUCAGACACCAGCUAAAUCUGAAUUUCAGUACUGAAUGCUGAGUCCUUGGAGAGCCGGCGCCCAUCUGCUUUUACCACCAAGAAGUCAGCAGGCCAACGGACGGACGCUCUAGCAAUGCCUGCAGGCAUGGUUUGAGAACGAUGUCCAUUCUCUGAAACUCACGUUGAAAUUCAAUCCCUGCUGUGAGAUGGAAGAGGCAGGUGCAGUUAUAGGUUUCAGAGCACUUAAGAGGUGAGUCAGCUCUGCCCUAAUGAGUGGAUUCAUCCAUUCCCCCGUGAAUGGACUUGCAGGUUAAUGGUUAUCUCCGGAGCGGGCCUGCUACCAAAGCCAGUUUGGUGAGGUCUCUCAUGCGUUCCUGGCCUCUGGCCAUCGGGUGCCCUGCCCCACUUGAGCACUCUGCCAGCAAGGCCAUCACGGCUGACCUGGGGACAGAACCAUGAGCCAGAGUGGACCUCUCUUCUGGUCUGGUAUGUGCUGCUGGCAGCAGGAAGGGGCCCGGGGGCAUCAGGAGGUCUGGGGAGGGCCGAGGCGGGCGAGAGGCAUGUGCUCAGGUUUAGGUAAUUCUGACUACUAUCAAAUGGAGGGUCUGAAAACAUCAAUUCAUUCAUUCAUUUGUUGGUUGAUGAUACAAACACCCCCCAGGACCAUGGCCAGGCCUGUGAAUGGGAAGAAAUGGUCAAGAGAGUGUGGGCUGCUAGUCUGGGUCUGAAUUCUGCUUCUACCCCUAGGGCCGUAUGACCCUGGACAAGUCACCCCACAGCUUUCCCCCGCCAUGAAAGAAGGAGAACAAGAGUGACGCUUUUCCUUCAUUAAGACCAGAUUAAAUGGUGUCCUCUCCCAGCUGCCCACAGGCUUCCUCUGGACCCCAUGGUCCCACACGCUCACACCUGCUAUGCACAUGCCACCAAAGCUCCUUCUGAAAACAGCUGUGUGUGCUGCCCCGAGCUCAGGUCCUGGCUCCCCAGGCCUCUGCAGGUGGGAUCUCUGUGCCAACACCAGAUGAGACUGCCACCCGACCCCCAACAUCCUGCUUAGGGAGGAAGGACAGAUGCCCUCUGGGAUGGCAACUUGUGGUCCCUGCAUCUGAGAAGGACAAAGGCAGGCAGAACUGAGAGUCACUACCAAGACUAUUUUCUCUGGGAAAACCUUUAAAUUCUGGCAUGCAGCAUUUCUGGUUCUACCCAGGAACAGCCCCAAAGCAAGUUCCAAGAUGAUUCCUGUAUCUGCCUUUCUUCUCCCUCUUCCCAGUUGCUCUCUGUUGCUUCCCAAAGCACCUUGUACCCAGAGUAUGGCAGCUGCCAUUGUAUUGAAAUGUAAGGGAAACAGUGAUCUGGGAUUGUAGGAAGCUUUCUGGGUAAUUUCUAUUUCUAAAGAUUGUAAAAAAACCAAUAUCUCCCCUGCUCAACUGUCCGAGUUGCUCCCACGAGCAUCAAGAACGUUUCCUCCCUGCCACCUCCCCCACCACCACCACCUGUCUCGUGUCAACCCUGUCCAUUCCUCUGAAGGCUGCUGCUGAGCGCUGGGAGUGUCCGGAACAUCUUGGGGAGGAUUUUGAGUUGGGUAAUUUGGGCUCCUCCAAUUUCCUAAGUUCUAUGAUGCCUAAGAUUUUGUUCUAUUGUUUCCUGCUAAAUAGAUGAACAAUUCCCCUCUCCCACCAGUGCUGAAAGUGCUUCCGUGGGGAGUGAGGGGGGAGACGUGUGACUGCCCCCACCCCACCCUCGAGGGCACGUGCUUACAGAGCUGUGGCAACGCGUGUGUGAGCCCCUCUAAAGCCCCUGGAAAUCAAAUCCGGUGCCGUUGUUGGGUUUGGACCUGGAGUGUGUGCAGCACAGCAGCACAGCUGGCAUUAGGGACAAUCAGGCCAACAAGGUGACCUACCGUGACCCAGAUGAUGGAGGAAACAGCAUCCCCCAUCCUUCCGUGUGCCUUGUCCCACUGGGCAUUUCCCCCAGGCCAGCUCCUGGUCUCCCCCCGUGGCCCUAUGGGGUGCAGGGUCUGCAGAGGGCCACUCAGAGAGGUCUGUGAAUUGCCAUAGGUCCUAAGACCUGCCCUGCUCAGCCCUCUGAUGAAAGCCGGCCGUUUUGGAAGCUGAGCUGGAGAAGAGACGCUGCGGUGCAUCCAGAGAGUGGAGUGUUCCUUCUCGCGGGAGAGAAGAGAGCUGCCCUGGAGCAGCACACAGGAAACUUAGCUGCAUAUUGCUGAAAGAGAAAGAAACUUGUGCAGGCUCGAGUCUGACUCCAGCUCCAGGACCUGGAAAAGAGCUCUGGAGACAGUCAAAGGAUCAGUGGGUGCCCCGGUGGGGGGACAGGGCAGGAACAGGUGGAGCACAGAUACUACAGUGGUGGACACGUCAUUAUACAUCUGUCCAAAUCCAGAAAAUGCACAGCCCAGGAGUGAACCUGAGCUUGAAGCACGGAUUGGGGGGUGGAUGAUGGCAGGUGAAUUGGGUUCAUUGUUUGUAACAAGUGUUCCACCUGGGACAGGAGGUUGACAUGUGGUGGGGGAUGGGGGGCUAAGCAGCGCUUGAUACUUCUGCUCAAGUUUUGCUAUGAACCUGAAACUGAUUUAAGACUCUUUUUUUUUUUUAAUAAGGUAGGGCAGAGUAAAGUCAGCACCUCCUCCAGGAAGCCUUCCCUGACUCUGGCCCUGCCAUGGCCUCCUGCCAGGAAUCUGCAGCCAACCUUGCUUCUCCCCUGGGCCAGCUCCUCCGGACUAAAGGGUGACCGUGGUUUCCUGAUUCUGAACCAUCAAGCCCUUAAGGGCCCUGGGGUGUGUGCCUUCAACCCUUCUGUCCCCUGCUGUAGAGCAUGCGGUAGUGUCCGUGGAACACCCGCUGCCCCUGCUGAUGAUUGGGUGGGCUUGUACGGGAUGAAGGAUGCCCAGUGCCAGGCACCUUGAUGUGCUCAGCUGUGGUCCGCUGCUGCUGCCGCCGCUGUGCCCAACCCUGGUAACAGAGCCCAGGGACCUGAGCUGCCAUCAGGACAUGUGACCAGACCCCCGCUAUGAGCUUUACUCCCUCCCCGCCUUGUCCAGGAUGGCAGGCUGAGCCCCCUUCCCAGGUGCCAGCUGGGCAGCAGAGCCCUCACCUGGCCGUGCCUGGGGGUCUCCUGGCUUCCAGGAGGUCUCUGAAUGGCGGUCCUCCCCACCAGGAGCAUCUUCCUUCUCAAAGUUGCCUCUGUCUCCUGGAUGCUCCCUUUUGGCAUGUGAAACUUCCCAUUUACUUGGUGACUCACCCACGAGGCAUUAAGUGGCUGUCACUCUCUGCCUUCAGAGGCGGUUAGAUCACGACUCAGACGCGCAGGCGGCCACAGAGCUCCCGAGACAAUGCCGCGUGUGUGCGGGGGCGUGUGGAGGUGUUGGCAGGCGUGGGCCCAAUGUAGCACGCACCCUAGUGACACAGAGCUGUGUGACCGGCACCAAACUCCCCCAGCACCACCCAAACUCUUUCCACUUGCACUGUGAUCCCAGGAGGCUGUGGAGGGGGCACAGUUGGGGUUUUUAAAGGAAAGAUGGAGAAGAGGAAGAGCCCAGCAUGGGCAGGAUGGCGGAGGGAGGUGGAUGGAGGGGACUUGGGAGCCUGGAGGCUCUGCCACCCAGCAGUUGUGGGAUGUGUGACCCUCUAGGACAUGGAGGGCCGACCCCAAUAGGUCACCUGGUGGUAAGACAAUCAUCAAGCUGAAUCAGCAAAAACAGCUUCCUACGGAGGUGUGGGCAAGAGCAAGUGGGGCAGCCUCAGCAGGGCCAUGGAGGGCGAGCCUAGGUGGGAGCAGGGCUGAGUGAGCCCAGGGCUUACCCAACCCCAAGGUGCCAUGCAACUGCUUUGCCCCACGUGACUUCCGUGGAAUCUAGACUCCUGGCCCAGUGGCCCUGGCAGGACAGCUCUGUGGUGGCUGUGUGUGCAGCCUGGGUGACAGCCCCCAGCCUAGGAGCAUUGCCCCACCUCUCCCAAGCCUCUGAGGCCCAGGGCCUCUCUUCGAGGGCAGUUCUGACUCAGGAGGCUGGGGAGCUCACAGCAGGAACCUGAACUGCCGGUGCCGCGAUCCCCCCCACCCAAUGAUAAACCAUGGGCUUUUCAGUCAUAAGGCUCAAGUGUCCCCAUGGAUCGGAGGCCCCAGGGGGAGUGGCACUGUUAAAUGCAGAUCCCUGGGCUUGGCUCCUGGGGUCGCUGAUGUGGGUGGUCUUAGGUGUGCAGGAUGUGAUUGACACGCCACCACAUUCUUACUCAUUCACCCAGUAGGCUAAAACCCCAGCUCAGGUCACAGAAGCCAUGCUCUGGGGGCCACAGGAUCCCUGGGACAUUCAGCCUGGUCAUUUGGGGGCCACUUCCCCAAUGCUCAAUACUGCUUGUUUACCCCCCUGCAACUCUGAAAGGUGACUUGGCAGCCGAUGCCUGUUUAUAUGCCAAGGGGCUGGUUGUUUUCCCUAAGGCUGCCCUGGCCAGGGGCAGGGGUUUCCACGCCCUCCACCCAAGUCCAUCUGAAGGAGCUUGGCUGGAUCCUAGACCACAGCAAGACCACAGUGCCAGCAUGAUGAUAUCAUUGUAUGAGUGCCACGACUCAGUGGCUUAAAACAACAGACAUUUGUUCUGACGCAGUUCUGGAGGCCAGGAGUCUAAAAUCAGUAUCACUGGGCCAAAAUCAAGAGGAACCCAUUUCUUGCCUCUUCAGCUUCCCGUGGCUGCCAGCAUUCCUCAGCCAGCAUGCCAGGCCAAGGCCAGCAUUCUCAGCUCUCCCUCUGCUCAGUCUCCACGUGGCCUGCUCCCCUGCCUCUUUCCUAUAAGGAUGAUGUAACUACAUUAAGGAUCCUCCUGGGUACUGGGAUGACAGCCCCUUCCCAAGACCCUCAGCUUAAUCUCACACCUGCAAAAAUCUUUUUCCAAAUAAAAUCACAUUUGCGGGUUCCCAGAGCUAGGACAUUAUUUGGCCUAGUACACCAAUGGUCCCAAAAGGCCCCAGUUCUGCUCUCUUCAGAAGACAACUCACUGGGCCUGUUUCCAUUUUUCUGUGGAAGUUUGGCGUAGCCCAAUGUCUGGAACUGGCAAGAGGUCAAUUGAGUAAGUGGAAGUGAGUUUUAAAUAGAAACUGACAAGGAAGUGGGUCAAGGUCAUAAACGAAGAUUCUUAAAGUUGUGGGAAGAAAUCAGAAUGAGGUUAGGAGAGGCAUAUUUGGAGGUCACACUAAAGAGUCCUAGAAGCAAGAAAGAGCUUGCACGAGGGCGAUGCAUCCGUGAUGCAUUCAUUCAUUUGAUGCCCAACAGAGGAGAACAGGGCUGGGCCGGCAGGGAUCAAGGGCAGGCCUGGAGAGAGGGCGCUCAAUGGCCAGUCUUUCUCCCACCAGAGCUGAGCUUCAGUAAGUCCUCCUGUAUCUUCACCAGUCAUUGCUUUAAAUAUUUAGCUGCUAGAGUUUCCGGCACGUUGAGAUUUAUGAUGAUUAAAUCUUUGUGGUCUGUGCCUCGGACUGUUACAUAAUACUCUUUGUUCCUGUGAAUUUGCUCUGCCUCUGGGUCUUUCUUAUCCAAUAUCAGUUUGCCAUUCUUAUUGCUUUUUUUUUUUUUUAAAUUCCACUUUUCCAAUGUCCACUUGGAACCUCCACUUGCCAACAUUUUUGGUGUGUUUCCUAUAAACAGCACCUAGCUGGUUUUGAGUGUUUCACACAGUCUUACAAUGUUUGCUGGGAAAUUCAGCCCAUACCCAUUUAUUAUGAAAGCUGAUCUCUACAGUUAUUUAUUUCUUCUCACUUUAUGUUUCCUUUUGCUAAACUGUAUUGUUAUCCUGCUAUUUUCUCUCUUUUACCCCUUCCUUAAUUUUGGGUCUGUGAACCAAAGUUAUCCAUAAAAGUCAUGUUUGUAUUUGGGAA